GAUGAAGAACGUAGCGAAAUGCGAUAAGUAGUGUGAAUUGCAGAAUUCAGUGAAUCAUCGAAUCUUUGAACGCACAUUGCGCCACUUGGUAGUCCAUGGGGCAUGCCUGUUCGAGCGUCAUUUGUACCUUCAAGCUUUGCUUGGUGUUGGGUGUUUGUCUCGCCUUUGCGUGUAGACUCGCCUUAAAAUAAUUGGCAGCCGGCGUAUUGAUUUCGGAGCGCAGUACAUCUCGCGCUUUGCACUCAUAACGACAGCGUCCAAAAGUACAUUUUACACUCUUGACCUCGGAUCAGGUAGGGAUACCCGCUGAACUUAAGCAUAUCAAUAAGCGGAGGA
This 336-nucleotide unclassified non-coding RNA is filed under the name soil metagenome. RNAcentral's name for it is "partial contains 5.8S ribosomal RNA, internal transcribed spacer 2, and large subunit ribosomal RNA". The stretch from base 1 to 120 matches the Rfam family "5.8S ribosomal RNA", at positions 35 to 154 of the family's 154-position model. The record is from RNAcentral.